Long non-coding RNA from Lineus longissimus, 2165 nucleotides. RefSeq lists it as uncharacterized. The record is from RefSeq and is a predicted model, not a curated record. The transcript has 5 exons. NCBI's taxonomy places the organism in Eukaryota, Metazoa, Nemertea, Pilidiophora, Heteronemertea, Lineidae.
CCCGUUAGGAAAAAAGGCUUAUCCCGUUUCCCAAUACGCAAUUUUAGCCGAAUCGUGACGCAAAACACGGCUUGUCUCGAAUCCCGCUAAAAUAAGGGUGUCUAUCCCGAAUCCCGACAGUUAUUUUCGGCCCAUCCCAGUGUCCCGAAAAUACCCGUUCUCCCCCUCAUACAUAGUAGACCAUAUUGUCACAUUGAUGUUUUCUUUCAUUACAGUUAGACUUCGAGAUCUACAUUUUCGACAAAGGCCUGGUGUAAUAUUAUUACGUACUUGAUGAAGGUUUAAUGACACGAAUGAGUACAAGUACAUUACAUUUUUCGACGAAGGCCUUCUGUAAUUUCAUACGCUUCUUACGUUAGACUUCGAGAUCUACAUUUUCGACAAAGGCCUGGUGUAAUAUUACGUACUUGAUGAAGGUUUAAUGACACGAAUGAGUACAAGUACAUUACAUUUUUCGACGAAGGCCUUCUGUAAUUUCAUACGCUUCUUAUGCAACAUUCAAUAGAUUUAUUUACUGUAUUAUCAUUUCGACCAAGGCGAAUUCGACACUUCAAUUACACAAGGUUAGUAACUUUUGUUCACAAAAUCCAAAUGGAGGCAAAUACAGAACAAUCAAACUUAGUCAUUCCAGUCAGUUACUGAAGCACAGUGAAAACUGUCGGGAGCAGUGCAACUGAUGGCAUGUCAAACUUCCAGUGACUGUCCCUGUCCAUAUAUUUCAAGACAGUACAAAUCUUGUAUUCAUUUUGUUUAUGCAAUGUACGUUAUUAUGUAUCAUUUCAGCACAAUCAAACUUAGUCAUUCCAGUCAGUUACUGAAGCACAGCGAAAACUGUCUGAAUUAGUGCUGCUGAUGGCAUGUAAUUACUCUACUACCACUACCAGUGACAGUCAAUGUCCAUAUAUUUUCAAGUGUGCGAAAUUAGUACUCGUCUACUUCUUAGUGUUGAAUGCAAUGUAUGUUAUAAAAAUAUUUUUUCAACACUAUAUCAACAUUCUCAUUCCUGUCAGUUUCUGAAAAUCAGCUAAAGCAAUCGCUACCAAUGCAGCUGAUAACAGCAAUUCUUUUUGUUCCCAAUGCCCAUCCAUGACAAUAUAUUUCACGCAUGUGACAAUCAUGGUAUCAUCCUGUUUUUUGUGUUCUAUUCAUGCAAUAAAUAAAUUCAGUAUUUUCAAAUCAUUGGUGCUACAAAACUAUUCUCAUUAUAGAUUAUUCAUAUUUUAUAAAAUGCUGUCAUGUCAAAUUUUGUGUCCUAUAAAUCAUUAUGAAGUCGGCAUUUUAUAUACAACUUUUGUACUCCUAAAUAAACAUACAAAUCUUGUUUUAUGUAAACUUUGUAUAUGUGACCCGUCACAGCAAAACCAGGCGCAUGUCGCUCUGAGCUUGGCAGGUUGAGACGGACUGUUUGUUCAUUUAUCUAUUGUCUGCCUUUUGUAAAAUAUGAGCACAUCAAUUUCUUCCAUUAUCUCCUGGUGUCAUUUAGGCUCCUCUUCUGUGCGACAUGUACCUGGUUUUGCUGUGACGGGUCACAUAUUCUAUAGAUAUACAACACUCUAAUGUCACAAUGCCUCUCUCACUCGCUUUUAUAGAGCAAGAUGUAUGAAUAAACAUGACACACCAACUAUGUACAAAAUUGCUAACAAACUGCACCAUUUGUCAGUACACCACAUGAAAUACAGAGAUAUGUCUUAAUUCUAAUCUUUCAUUAGCGACACCAUUUCUUACCCGAGUGCCUCCUUCAUUCAUACAUCUUGUACUUUAACUCGAGAUACCCAUCUUUGAAUAUUUUUAGUAUACCAAGUACUACAAUGUCAAUGUAUUGAAGUCAUGUUCUUGUAGUGUUAUUGGCUUUCUAUUAUCUUGUCAAAAUACCACUUGGUUCUCGCAAAAUCUCAAUGAAAACAAAUGCUAUUGCAUGUAUUGCAUAUUCUAACAGCUAUCCACUGUAUCGAUUUAUCCAUCAUCUGUACUAUUUGUCACAAAAAUGUUAUAUUAUGUAAAUCAUAUUUCAUUACAUAAUGCACACUGCCAAUUACUGCUGAACCAUUCAUAUGUCAUUUAAAUAAAUAAUUUUCAACUUUUUAAAACCGUCUUAUAGUACUGUUCUUGUCACUUAGCUGAACCUAUUGCUCUAUAGCAUGAAAUUUCCAGAAAUGCCCCAGGGA